AACCAUAGAAACCUGCGGAGUACCUGCGGAAGGAUCAUUAGCGAGUGCAAGCUCCCUAUAUCCUGUGAACUGUCCUGUUGCUCCGGCGGGCUCGCCUGCCGGAGUCCACUAUAACUCUGUAUUUACUGUCUCUCUGAGCACCAAAAGAAAUCGUUAAAACUUUCAGCAAUGGAUCU
This 176-nucleotide unclassified non-coding RNA is filed under the name soil metagenome. RNAcentral's name for it is "partial contains 5.8S ribosomal RNA, internal transcribed spacer 2, and large subunit ribosomal RNA". The record is from RNAcentral.